GGCUGAGCCGCAGUAGUUCUUCAGUGGCAAGCUUUAUGUCCUCACCCCGCUAAAGCUGCCAGUUGAAGAACUGUUGCCCUCUGCC
This 85-nucleotide microRNA precursor is filed under the name Cebus imitator (Panamanian white-faced capuchin). RNAcentral's name for it is "microRNA 22 (ENSCCAG00000002814.1)". It matches the Rfam family "mir-22 microRNA precursor family". Lineage: Eukaryota; Metazoa; Chordata; Mammalia; Primates; Cebidae. The record is from RNAcentral.